RNAcentral lists this ribosomal RNA (465 nucleotides) under uncultured bacterium. RNAcentral describes it as "partial 16S ribosomal RNA". It matches the Rfam family "Bacterial small subunit ribosomal RNA", at positions 28 to 507 of the family's 1533-position model. The record is from RNAcentral.
GACGAACGCUGGCGGCGUGCUUAACACAUGCAAGUCGUACGGUAAGGCCCUUUCGGGGGUACACGAGUGGCGAACGGGUGAGUAACACGUGAGUAACCUGCCCACAACUUUGGGAUAACGCUAGGAAACUGGUGCUAAUACUGGAUAUGUGCUCCUGCUGCAUGGUGGGGGUUGGAAAGCUCCGGCGGUUGUGGAUGGACUCGCGGCCUAUCAGCUUGUUGGUGGGGUAGUGGCCUACCAAGGCGGCGACGGGUAGCCGGCCUGAGAGGGUGACCGGCCACAUUGGGACUGAGAUACGGCCCAGACUCCUACGGGAGGCAGCAGUGGGAAAUAUUGCACAAUGGGCGCAAGCCUGAUGCAGCAACGCCGCGUGCGGGAUGACGGCCUUCGGGUUGUAAACCGCUUUCAGCAGGGACGAAGCUUUUUGUGACGGUACCUGCAGAAGAAGCACCGGCUAACUACGUG